AACUUGAGAGUUUGAUCCUGGCUCAGAACGAACGCUGGCGGCAGGCUUAACACAUGCAAGUCGAGCGCGUAGCAAUACGAGCGGCAGACGGGUGAGUAACGCGUGGGAAUCUACCCAUCUCUACGGAACAACU
RNAcentral lists this ribosomal RNA (133 nucleotides) under Mesorhizobium sp. RNAcentral describes it as "partial 16S ribosomal RNA". It matches the Rfam family "Bacterial small subunit ribosomal RNA", at positions 1 to 148 of the family's 1533-position model. Lineage: Bacteria; Pseudomonadati; Pseudomonadota; Alphaproteobacteria; Hyphomicrobiales; Phyllobacteriaceae. The record is from RNAcentral.